GACGAACGCUGGCGGCGUGCUUAACACAUGCAAGUCGAACGGAAAGGCCCUGCUUUUGUGGGGUGCUCGAGUGGCGAACGGGUGAGUAACACGUGAGUAACCUGCCCUUGACUUUGGGAUAACUUCAGGAAACUGGGGCUAAUACCGGAUAGGAGCUCCUGCUGCAUGGUGGGGGUUGGAAAGUUUCGGCGGUUGGGGAUGGACGCGCGGCUUAUCAGCGUGUUGGUGGGGAAGUGGCUUACCAAGGCUUUGACGGGUAGCCGGCCUGAGAGGGUGACCGGCCACAUGGGGACUGAGAUACGGCCCAGACUCCUACGGGAGGCAGCAGGGGGGAAUAGUGCACAAUGGGCGGAAGCCUGAUGCAGCAACGCCGCGUGCGGGAUGACGGCCUUCGGUGUGUAAACCGCUUUCGCCUGUGACGAAGCGUGAGUGACGGUAAUGGGUAAAGAAGCACCGGCUAACUACGUG
RNAcentral lists this ribosomal RNA (468 nucleotides) under uncultured bacterium. RNAcentral's name for it is "partial 16S ribosomal RNA". It matches the Rfam family "Bacterial small subunit ribosomal RNA", at positions 28 to 507 of the family's 1533-position model. The record is from RNAcentral.